RNAcentral lists this ribosomal RNA (253 nucleotides) under uncultured bacterium. RNAcentral describes it as "partial 16S ribosomal RNA". It matches the Rfam family "Bacterial small subunit ribosomal RNA", at positions 524 to 776 of the family's 1533-position model. The record is from RNAcentral.
UACGUAGGGUGCAGGCGUUAAUCGGAAUUACUGGGCGCAAAGCGUGCGCAGGCGGUUUGCUAAGACAGGUGUGAAAUCCCCGGGCUUAACCUGGGAACUGCGCUUGUAACUGGCAAGCUUGAGUGUGGCAGAGGGGGGUGGAAUUCCACGUGUAGCAGUGAAAUGCGUAGAGAUGUGGAGGAACACCGAUGGCGAAGGCAGCCCCCUGGGCUAACACUGACGCUCAUGCACGAAAGCGUGGGGAGCAAACAGG